Molecule: non-coding RNA, 72 nt
Organism: Elgaria multicarinata webbii
Lineage: Eukaryota; Metazoa; Chordata; Lepidosauria; Squamata; Anguidae
Source: the annotation of a RefSeq genome assembly
GGACCGUGGCUCAGUGGUAGAGCAUCUGCUUGACAUGCAGAAGGUCCCAGGUUCGAUUCCCUGGCAUCUCCU